UUCGUCCCACCCUGAAGGGCGGCGGCGCGGGCGGCGACAAGCUUCAGCUCUGCAUUGGGAGCAGCAACGCCGACACAGGCUUCAGUUCAUUGCUAAUCUUGGCCGGUGGUUUCGUUUUGUCUACGGCAUCGGGUUGCUUUCUGCUCCGUUGUGUGGUUGAGGCAUUGGGAGUUCUUGAAGGGAAAUGAUGAAAAUGGUGUAUGAAAAGGUGGACAGCUUGAUAUGGGGGGAGGCACAUAGGUUUGUUAAUUCUGUUUCUGGGCUGGCCUAUGAGAUGGAGACCAAGCAAACUUCAGCAGGUUUCAGGUACCAAAUUAAGUAGGCUUAUGCACAUAAGCUUCUUCAUUGUUUCCCUUCUGGAAACAAAAUUGUUCUCGUGGUAAUUGGUUGGUUCGCAUGCAUGUGCAAUAACUAUAUGCCGAAGGACUGGUCCUAAUUUUUCAGUGGCGCUCCACAUAAGCAGGAUCUAUACUAAUUGUUCCGUUGACUGCUCUCGGGUGAGUUUUUACUCAUUUCCCUCUGAUGCUUUUGUGUCCAUAUGCCUAACUUGGUCUUCUUUCAAAAUUUCUCAUGGUUUAUGUGGUAGUGUGGUUGGCUGACGGCUUAUAACUUUCUGUAUCCUCUAUCUAUGAUAUUCUGUAAGGCUAGGCACAUUUCUUCCCUUCAUAAUUCAGUGUCGAAUUAAUUAUCUUAGCUACAUGGUGAAUCUCGAUA
This is a long non-coding RNA of Triticum dicoccoides, 714 nucleotides long. RefSeq lists it as uncharacterized. The transcript has 4 exons. Lineage: Eukaryota; Viridiplantae; Streptophyta; Magnoliopsida; Poales; Poaceae. The record is from RefSeq and is a predicted model, not a curated record.